UUUCCCACAACUGCAGCGCAGGAAGCGCUCAGGAUCAGGGAAGGUCGACCAUUAGCACGGAUGCUGCAGACAGGAAGUCAUAAUGGUCUUGGAAAAAACCCGCUUCGGCGGGUUUUUUU
This 119-nucleotide small RNA is filed under the name Pseudomonas protegens Pf-5. The record is from RNAcentral. Lineage: Bacteria; Pseudomonadati; Pseudomonadota; Gammaproteobacteria; Pseudomonadales; Pseudomonadaceae.